AUGAACUCCUCUCUGGACUUUCUAAUUCUGAUCUUAAUGUUUGGAGGAACCAGCAGCAAUUCAGUCAAGCAGACGGGCCAAAUAACCGUCUCGGAGGGAGCAUCUGUGACUAUGAACUGCACAUACACAUCCACGGGGUACCCUACCCUUUUCUGGUAUGUGGAAUACCCCAGCAAACCUCUGCAGCUUCUUCAGAGAGAGACAAUGGAAAACAGCAAAAACUUCGGAGGCGGAAAUAUUAAAGACAAAAACUCCCCCAUUGUGAAAUAUUCAGUCCAGGUAUCAGACUCAGCCGUGUACUACUGUCUUCUGGGAGA
Non-coding RNA from Homo sapiens (human), 317 nucleotides. Lineage: Eukaryota; Metazoa; Chordata; Mammalia; Primates; Hominidae. The record is from the annotation of a RefSeq genome assembly.